RNAcentral lists this ribosomal RNA (504 nucleotides) under uncultured bacterium. RNAcentral describes it as "bacterial SSU rRNA". It matches the Rfam family "Bacterial small subunit ribosomal RNA", at positions 949 to 1449 of the family's 1533-position model. The record is from RNAcentral.
AUUCGACGCAACGCGAAGAACCUUACCUGGGCUCGAACGGCUGCCGACGGUUCGUGGAAACAUGGACUUUCCCGCAAGGGACGCGCAGUCGAGGUGCUGCAUGGCUGUCGUCAGCUCGUGUCGUGAGAUGUUGGGUUAAGUCCCGCAACGAGCGCAACCCUUGUCCUGUGUUGCCAUGCCGAAAGGCGGAACUCUCAGGAGACCGCCAGCGAUAAGCUGGAGGAAGGUGGGGAUGACGUCAAGUCAUCAUGGCCUUUAUGUCCAGGGCUACACACGUGCUACAAUGGCCGGUACAAAGCGCUGCUAAAUCGCAAGAUGGAGCUAAUCGCAAAAAGCCGGUCUCAGUUCGGAUUGCAGGCUGCAACCCGCCUGCAUGAAGCUGGAAUCGCUAGUAAUGGCGCAUCAGCAUGGCGCCGUGAAUACGUUCCCGGGCCUUGUACACACCGCCCGUCACNUCACGAAAGUGGGUUGUACUAGAAGUCUGCGUGCUAACCCGCAAGGGGG